RNAcentral lists this ribosomal RNA (494 nucleotides) under Roseobacter denitrificans. RNAcentral describes it as "bacterial SSU rRNA". It matches the Rfam family "Bacterial small subunit ribosomal RNA", at positions 394 to 905 of the family's 1533-position model. The record is from RNAcentral. Lineage: Bacteria; Pseudomonadati; Pseudomonadota; Alphaproteobacteria; Rhodobacterales; Roseobacteraceae.
AUGCCGCGUGAGUGAUGAAGGCCUUAGGGUCGUAAAGCUCUUUUCGCCAGGGAUGAUAAUGACAGUACCUGGUAAAGAAACCCCGGCUAACUCCGUGCCAGCAGCCGCGGUAAUACGGAGGGGGUUAGCGUUGUUCGGAAUUACUGGGCGUAAAGCGCGCGUAGGCGGAUUAGAAAGUUGGGGGUGAAAUCCCGGGGCUCAACCCCGGAACUGCCUCCAAAACUCCUGGUCUUGAGUUCGAGAGAGGUGAGUGGAAUUCCGAGUGUAGAGGUGAAAUUCGUAUAUAUUCGGAGGAACACCAGUGGCGAAGGCGGCUCACUGGCUCGAUACUGACGCUGAGGUGCGAAAGUGUGGGGAGCAAACAGGAUUAGAUACCCUGGUAGUCCACACCGUAAACGAUGAAUGCCAGUCGUCGGGUAGCAUGCUAUUCGGUGACACACCUAACGGAUUAAGCAUUCCGCCUGGGGAGUACGGUCGCAAGAUUAAAACUCAAG